This is a long non-coding RNA of Liolophura sinensis, 2692 nucleotides long. RefSeq lists it as uncharacterized. NCBI's taxonomy places the organism in Eukaryota, Metazoa, Mollusca, Polyplacophora, Chitonida, Chitonidae. The record is from RefSeq and is a predicted model, not a curated record. The transcript has 4 exons.
UACCGCUCACACACAGGGCUACUUCAGAAAGCAGGCAAAGUUCGCCUUCAAGUAAGGCGAUUGCCUAAGAGACACCAUGUAAUCACCUAAUCCACACAGGUUAGAUUCUGACAGAACCAGAAGCAUGCUACUGCAACAUUUUGCUUUGUUCCCGAUAUGCCUUCAUAUCAUGACCCUAAAACCAAUCCGCCUCUAAUCUGGGAGAAAAUGCAUGUAUAUAUUAAUUCACAACGAUAGAUGACAUCUUCAUGUAUUCAGUCUAUGUGAAUAGUGAACGUCAUUUAUCAAAAUUACGACCAUAAAUAAGUGACUCAUUUCGGCCAGUGGUGCUUUUGUCGUAACGAUCUAAAUGAAAGACGACUAGCAGAAAAUGAAACUGUAUGCAAUAGUUCAACUCUGUCCUUUGCAUUUUUUUUCAUCUCUGUCUUUCAAACUUUACUGUCCUCUUUCAUAACACUUAAUAUAAAAAAUCGGUUAAUAAAACUUUGUUUAGGAAUGUUAGCAUGGGCUACGUGGGGUGUACAAAAAAUACAAAUCAGGCUGAAGAGAGUAAAAAACAAUAACGGCUUCUUUUUGGGCCAAGUUCCUUUUAUUAAAUGUUUUCAGUUUUCGAGUGGACAAGCCUGUACUUAUAACGGCAAAGCUGUCAACAAUUUAGUACGUCCGUAUCUGUCCCAGAAGGAUUGCCUUCCCGGGCCUAGUCGAAUACUCAGAAAGCACACUUAGAUGGGUCCCAUAUGGGCGUGAUCUGGGCAUGGGUUGGCCCAGAUAUAUCCCAUGUGGAACCCACGUGGAUAGAAUACGGUGAAAUUCCAGUUAUUUUCCCAUUAAAGUCCCAUAUGGGUUCCUUAUGGGUAACAUUUUCCCAGGUUCAACCCAUAUAGGGCCCACAUGGGUAAACCCAUUUAAUUCCCACGUAAUUGUGUCUAUAUGGGGCCCAUAUACGACCCAUACCGGUAUACUAAAAUUAUAUGAAAGCAUAUUUAAAUUCUAAAUAACAACUAUUGCAAAAAAUUAAAUAUCAAUCGGAGGAAAGAAUUAUUUGGAAUGAAUGAAUGAUUAUGGCUUAACGCCACACUGGCAAUAUUUCAGCCAUAUCGUGGCGACAUCAAGGAAAAAAAUAUAUGUGGACCUAUAGCCUACACAAGCUAUACAAUUAAGAGAUGAAAAAUUAAACAAAUUUACCCAUUAAGAGCUAAAGAAAAUUUAUCAUAUAAUACAUUUCAUAAAUUCAUUAUGCAUAUAUAGUUAUUGUUUAUUUAGAUUAAGUGUGAUUUAUCAGAAACCCCCAAAAAUGCUAUUUAAAUUCAACAGGAAAGAUUCAACAGGCAUUAUAUCUAUGUUUAUGGUAGAUCAAUGAAAUCAGAUAAUGGGUUUAAGACAUGUAUAUAAGACACCAGUAUAGUCUGUUUUCUGUGGGAGGCAUUUUUUCAUUUGUGGUCGAGUGUGGAACUUUCAGGCCAGGAAAGUGGACUGAGUUUUGUGCUGUUAGCAGUUUGUGGUGCAGCUGACAUUAUAGGUGAGUAACACGCUGUAAAUGGAUUCAAUUAAAGUCUAAUAAAAUUCACCAACCAAAUCAGAAGAUGCUUUUAUUAGGGCCGAUUAUUUUAACAAGACACAGCUAUUAUUAGGUUAUUAUAUAUACUAUCCAAAUUACUUUGGAACCUUAACUUUAAUAAUAUUUUGACCUGGAAACAAAUUCUGAGGUGUAACAUUAAGAGACACAUGAAUCACCCCCCACCCCCUCGGCCACCUCUUCCCCCAGUGUACCCUCCUAUGACGCCCAGUUUAACUCUCUGUAUCUUUCUCUUUUUUCCCACUGGACUCAGAACUGUUAGCCUCUGAGGGAAAGCUGUGAGACACUUUUACAAGUUAUAAUAUUUUAAAUAAACAGGGUCGAGUGCUGCUUCACUGAGACGUCUUACCGGAAGGAAGUAAAGCUCCCCGCCCGAGCCAUAAAACUGAUACGGGUCAACCAGUCGUGGCAAUAUCCCCUUCAUGCUGAACGCCAAAAUAUGUCAAGCUAGAAGUGCUUGGAAGAAAAACUUGAACUGAGUUAUUUCAAACAUUGUGAGAAUGCUGAUGUCAUUGACCAUUCAAAAAUUUGUUCGGGGACAAACGGAAAAGACGGAGGCUCUUGGCACGCUGAAGCUUUGCAAAGAAAUAUUGAAGUGGUCCAGUGGAAUGUUGAUUUGUGUUGAAUUCCCUGACGAUGACUGAUAUAGGGAGGAUGUAAGAUCUCGUUAGCUACCUUUGCUAGGCCAGCGAGGCUUACAGACCUUUCGAUGGAGGAUCCCUUAACGUGUGUGACAGCAAAUAAAGCUUCUACGGAUUCAUAUCUUAACUGAAUUGACUUGAAACUUUUAUUUCAAGCAACACAACGCUUUCCAAUUGAGCAUUUUGCUCAAGAUUUCCUGACGGAGUGCCACUAUAACAGUAGAUGUAUAUAGAGCUAAUUUCUGUAUGGUAAACAGAAAUUUAAGAAACCCAUGUAUAUACAUACUUGUAUAUGAUGUGUAUGUAGUAUGUAAUUUGAUUAGCUUAAUAAACAAAUAAGCUAACACUCAUAACCUGUUUUGUGAUUCUAGUUACGUUUUAAAAAUCCCCUAAGCUUUUCUCAAGUUUACAACAUGAUGAACUUCAGUGACAAGAGCUUACCAAAGGAAAAUCACCAUAGCCGAAUUUUGAAUAU